GUCAUUCUACAUUACGAUAAUGUACCUAAAGGUGUGAGACACAAUGAUGCAAGACAGAGGUAAGACAGAGAGACACAACGAGAACGGAGGUGAGAUGGAGAGAACGAACCUGAGACAGACACAUGUAGCUGGGAAUAUAGAGCGAGAAUGGAGAGGAAGAGAGCGCAGUUGAGACGGAGACAGGAAGAAAGGGCAGCGCAAAAGAGUAACUGGAUAUUAGGGUGACAUUUUUAAAUACCGAGUUUGUUAAUAUUAAUUUUUUUCUAAAACCAACGUUAAUGAAAUUAUGUUAACCUCGACGUAUCAACGUUAAAUCCAUAUUUUUAGAAGUGUCAUACAGGUUGAAGUCAUAGAUGCAUCCAUGAUCCAACCAUAAUACAUGCAACUUGACUAAACAAUAUUAUAUUAUUCUUGGUUUAUGGGUACUUCUUGUACGAUCCAAUUCAAUAAAUCUUUUGUUGUAAUUGCUGAUUAAAAAUAUAUUAUUCUUGG
RNAcentral lists this long non-coding RNA (492 nucleotides) under Glycine max (soybean). Its description in RNAcentral is "long non-coding RNA (GMAX_LNC003692)". The record is from RNAcentral. Lineage: Eukaryota; Viridiplantae; Streptophyta; Magnoliopsida; Fabales; Fabaceae.